CCUGCUUUCCAGUUUGCCUUAAGAAGAAGGGCUGAUUCCAGGAGGUGAAAGACAAGAAGCGGUGAUCAGAAUUUGGGGUUGAAAGUUCACCUGGAGUACUGAGCACUACAGCAUACAGAGGAUAUCAACAAGAUGGAACUUGUUUAGGGGAAUGUGAUCCAAAUGAUAAGAAACAGCAAGAAAGAGAUGGAGAGAACGACAGAUUGAGCAUAGGAGGAGGAGAGCACUGUGCUGGUUCCCGUGGGAAACUUGCAAAAGUUACUUUUUUAAGAAGACUACAGUAUCCAGCAGGCCAUGCUAACUGGAAAAUCUCUUGUUUUUAUGAAAUGUGGUUCCAAUUCCUCCAUUAAAAAACCUCA
This is a long non-coding RNA of Pogona vitticeps (central bearded dragon), 359 nucleotides long. RefSeq lists it as uncharacterized. Lineage: Eukaryota; Metazoa; Chordata; Lepidosauria; Squamata; Agamidae. The record is from RefSeq and is a predicted model, not a curated record.